RNAcentral lists this ribosomal RNA (440 nucleotides) under uncultured bacterium. RNAcentral describes it as "partial 16S ribosomal RNA". It matches the Rfam family "Bacterial small subunit ribosomal RNA", at positions 338 to 795 of the family's 1533-position model. The record is from RNAcentral.
CCUACGGGUGGCAGCAGUAGGGAAUAUUGCUCAAUGGGGGAAACCCUGAAGCAGCAACGCCGCGUGGAGGAUGAAGGUUUUCGGAUUGUAAACUCCUUUUGUUAGAGAAGAUAAUGUCGGGAUCUAACGAAUAAGCACCGGCUAACUCCGUGCCAGCAGCCGCGGUAAUACGGAGGGUGCAAGCGUUACUCGGAAUCACUGGGCGUAAAGAGCGCGUAGGCGGGAUAGCAAGUCAGAUGUGAAAUCCUAUGGCUUAACCAUAGAACUGCAUUUGAAACUGUUAUUCUAGAGUAUGGGAGAGGUAGGUGGAAUUCUUGGUGUAGGGGUAAAAUGCGUAGAGAUCAAGAGGAAUACUCAUGGCGAAGGCGACCUGCUAGAACAUAACUGACGCUGAUGCGCGAAAGCGUGGGGAGCAAACAGGAUUAGAUACCCCAGUAGUC